CAGUCUCCGCGGUAAUACGUAGGGUGCAAGCGUUAAUCGGAAUUACUGGGCGUAAAGCGUGCGCAGGCGGUUCGCUAAGACAGAUGUGGAAUCCCCGGGCUCAACCUGGGAAUGGCAGUGGAUACUGGCUCGCUAGAGUGUGUCAGAGGAUGGUGGAAUUCCCGGUGUAGCGGUGAAAUGCGUAGAGAUCGGGAGGAACAUCAGUGGCGAAGGCGGCCAUCUGGGACAACACUGACGCUGAGGCACGAAAGCGUGGGGAGCAAACAGGAUUAGAUACCCCGGUAGUCCCUGUCUCUUAUAC
RNAcentral lists this ribosomal RNA (301 nucleotides) under uncultured bacterium. RNAcentral's name for it is "partial 16S ribosomal RNA". It matches the Rfam family "Bacterial small subunit ribosomal RNA", at positions 509 to 807 of the family's 1533-position model. The record is from RNAcentral.